GUAUAAUCGAUUUUUCCUAAAUAUCUGCGAAUAAACAUGUAGACUAUUGCAUAUUCUAUAUGUUCCUAUUCAAAUACAUAUUAAGGUGUGGCUGUCUAAUGGGUUAAACAGAACAGAUGGCGUUUGCUAUUCUGUACCAUGAGGUCUCUGGAAUUUGCUGUAUAAGAGAUUUGGGGUGGUCUUUAUAUGGGGAAUUUCCUUAUAUGGCCAGAGUCUAAACUAAACGUUA
This is a non-coding RNA of Pelobates cultripes (western spadefoot toad), 229 nucleotides long. The record is from the annotation of a GenBank genome assembly. Lineage: Eukaryota; Metazoa; Chordata; Amphibia; Anura; Pelobatidae.